This 490-nucleotide ribosomal RNA is filed under the name uncultured Acholeplasma sp. RNAcentral describes it as "bacterial SSU rRNA". It matches the Rfam family "Bacterial small subunit ribosomal RNA", at positions 887 to 1382 of the family's 1533-position model. The record is from RNAcentral. Lineage: Bacteria; Bacillati; Mycoplasmatota; Mollicutes; Acholeplasmatales; Acholeplasmataceae.
GCCCGCUCAGAAACUCAAAGGAAUUGACGGGACCCCGCACAAGCGGUGGAUCAUGUUGUUUAAUUCGAUGAUACGCGAAGAACCUUACCAGGUCUUGACAUCCCCCGCGAUGCUUUAGAGAUAAAGCGGAGGUAUUCGGGGAGACAGGUGGUGCAUGGUUGUCGUCAGCUCGUGUCGUGAGAUGUUGGGUUAAGUCCCGCAACGAGCGCAACCCCUAUUGCUAGUUACCAUCAUUAAGUUGGGGACUCUAGCGAGACUGCCAGUGAUAAACUGGAGGAAGGUGGGGAUGACGUCAAAUCAUCAUGCCCCUUAUGACCUGGGCUACAAACGUGAUACAAUGGCUGGAACAAAGGGAUGCGAAGCAGUGAUGUGGAGCGAAACCCAUAAAAACAGUCUCAGUUCGGAUUGAAGUCUGCAACUCGACUUCAUGAAGUCGGAAUCGCUAGUAAUCGCGGAUCAGAAUGUCGCGGUGAAUGCGUUCCCGGGUCUU